This 67-nucleotide transfer RNA is filed under the name Ozobranchus jantseanus. Its description in RNAcentral is "tRNA-Gly". The record is from RNAcentral. Lineage: Eukaryota; Metazoa; Annelida; Clitellata; Hirudinida; Ozobranchidae.
AUAUAAUACUAGUAUAAUUUAGUAUAUCUACCUUCCAAGUAGCAGGUUUAAAAUUUAAGUAUUAUAU